This 104-nucleotide small nuclear RNA is filed under the name Octopus sinensis (East Asian common octopus). Lineage: Eukaryota; Metazoa; Mollusca; Cephalopoda; Octopoda; Octopodidae. The record is from RNAcentral.
GUGUGUAUGGCAGUACUUAUUCUAAAACUGGAACGAUACAGAGAAGAUUAACAUGGCCCCUGCACAAGGAUGACACUCAAAUUCGUGAAGCGUUCCAUAUUUUU